AUGCAUGAUUUCGAUCAGAAAUUCACUGAGUGUAGAAUCACAGCAACAGAGACUGCACAACAGCUCAAAAAGACAUCUGGAGUGCCUUUUCUUGCCAAGGGGAGAGGCUUGGUUAAGAAAAUUGAUACCACUACUCCUCUUAAGGGGAUUCCAAAGCAAGCUCCAUUCCGGAGUCCCACUACUCCCAGCGUAUUCAGUCCAUCUACCAACAGAACACCAAUGGCAGGUCGGACACCUUUGCGCAAGGAGAGGGCUGUAAAGUUGCUGGACAUUUCUGAGCUGGAUAUGGUUGGUGCUGGUCGGGAAGCAAAGAGGAGAAGGAGACAUUAGGUUGAUGCAGAUGUUGCAGAAAAGCCUGCCAAAGAAGAAACUGUUCUGGACAGUGUCACACCAGAUUAUGCGGUUGGUCUGGUGUCUACUCAGAAACUCGGUGCUUUAAACAAUGAUAAUCCACUACCAUCUACCAGUUAUUUGCCUGCUACACCCAGCAUGGUACCAUCAUCGUCCUACAUUCCCAGCUCAGAAACUCCGCAAGCCAACACGGGUGGAUCAGUGAGGGAGGCUUUACAGACGAAUAGACUAUCGGAAGAGUCAACAGCACCUACCUCUGGUCUGCCUGGCCAGUUCAAACAAAGAACGCCCAUUUUUAACAGCAGCUCGACUGCAUCAACUACCUCAGCCACCACCACCACCCCAGCGUCUGCCUCUGUCACUACAACAGCACAGACGCCGCCUGCACAACAGCAGACGCAACAGCAGCAGCAGCAGCAAACCCCACAGCAGCAGCCGCAAGCGCAGCAACAACAACAACAGGCACAGCCACCGCCACAACAGACACAGCAGCAGCAACAACCUCGGAGGAAUCUUUCACUCACAAGAGACCAAAUGUAUGCGGCCCAAGAAAUGUUCAAAACUGCAAACAAGGUCACUCGACCAGAGAAGGCUCUUAUACUUGGAUUUAUGGCAGGAUCUAGAGAAAACCCAUGUCCAGAGCAGGGCGAUAUCAUUCAAAUCAAACUGAGUGAGCACACAGAGCUUUUACCAAAAGCAGACGGAACGGGCAGCACCACCAUGCUGGUGGACACAGUCUUCGAAAUGAACUAUGCCACAGGCCAGUGGACCAGACUGAAGAAGUACAAGCCGAUCACAAACGUAUCCUGAGAAUUCCCAACGCUGAGAAAUCGUGGACCAAAACCAGCAUGGUUCUCCUGGUUGCCACUGAACUGAGCUUAAAUGAUUGUAUUUUCAGACGUUCUGAAAUGUCACAGGAGACACCAAUUUUUACAGAUUGUGGGGUGUGAGCAGUGGUUCCUCCUAUUUCCUGCCUUGGUGAGGUCAUCUCGUCUUCUGUGAUGUGUCCGAAGUCUUUAAAUGAUGGUCCAGACUUCCAGCGACUCAGCAUGAAAACCCGAUCUGUCAAAAGCAUGUAGAACAUUUGUUAUGGUUAGCUGACAGGAAUUACUGUGUGGUCACAACUUCGGAGUGGGUUUUUGUCUUAUUCGAAAUAUGUGGGAUGAUCAUUUCAAGCAGCUUAGAUUUGGUUCACUUUCUUUUUUAAAACAAAAAAGAAAAGCGCUGGGUUUUAAACUGGAGAGCAUUAGAAAGCCAGAGCUCUUCCUGGUACCUGGAGCCUUUCCCUCGAGAUGUUAUCAGUUUCAUAAAGUAUUGUUGCAAAGGCAGCAAGACUUACAUUUUUCUAUUUUUUGUACAGUUGUAAAGAUUCUAGGUUUUUCUCUCUCUUUCUCUCGUAUAGUGUAAGAUGUAAAAUAACAAAUUAGAUUUUCUAUGGAGACUGUAAUUAAGUGCAGUUUAAAGAAUGCACAGCCAUAAAUAGUUUGGUUUUCUGUGUUUAGACAGCUGGUUGAACUGUCAGUGCUUAAGGGACAAUAGUGCUUUUUACUGGACAUACAGUACCAAGCACAAUAAAGUUACAUUGUAACUGGUGUCAUAGUUUAUCAAUCUACUGGUAUCUGAAUUUUAUAAUAAGCAACAAUUUUUAAAAUGCAUAAUCAGUAGUUUCAUUAAAAACGUCUUUUCUGCAAGUAUGGCCUGAUUGUUCACCAAUUUGUGACAUGUUUCGGUGAAGCAGUGACACUUUGUUCGACUACCUUAGCUAGGUUGCUGAAGUACUUUUGAAUCCAAUUGUAACUCUGUUGGAAGCUACACCUCUUGAGCUACUUGCCAGGUAUGAAAUCUCAACGAGAAGUCACUUCCUGAAAAUUCGCGUCAAUAUUUUCUGUAACAAUAAUGGUUUAAUUUGGUGCUUUUUUGUUCAGUUAGUAAAACUACACCCAGGUAAAUUUGUAACUUGUUGCAAACAUAGAUUUACUGAGAACAACUUGCAUUUAUAGUGCCCUUCACGUGGGAGCGUUUCAGAGUGUUUAACAAUGGUGUAGUUUGAUGCAGAGGGAGGUGAUUGUUGCACAAUUAAACAUAUUAACUUGCUUCAAUGCAAGUUCAUUUUAUAGGUUUAGAUUCGAUGUGACAUUUCAAGCUGAUUCUGUAAACAUUUGCUCUUAUGUGGUUUCUCCCCCCUCACACACAGUGCCAUAUAUACAUGGACAAAUUUCUAAAUGUGGCACACACUGCACUGAAUAUUUACUCAAAAGUGCCAGCUGUAAAAGGUACAAUUCUCAGGAAGUCACUUCCAUUCAAUCCUGCAGGUUGUGACGUUUCAGUUCUGAACAUAAUAAAAUGUAUGGCUAUUUUUAACA
Molecule: RNA transcript, 2714 nt
Organism: Callorhinchus milii (elephant shark)
Lineage: Eukaryota; Metazoa; Chordata; Chondrichthyes; Chimaeriformes; Callorhinchidae
Gene name: negative elongation factor A-like
Exons: 10
Source: RefSeq, a predicted model, not a curated record